RNAcentral lists this ribosomal RNA (253 nucleotides) under uncultured bacterium. RNAcentral describes it as "partial 16S ribosomal RNA". It matches the Rfam family "Bacterial small subunit ribosomal RNA", at positions 524 to 776 of the family's 1533-position model. The record is from RNAcentral.
UACGAGGGGGGCGAGCGUUAAUCGGAAUUACUGGGCGUAAAGGGUGCGUAGGUGGUUUGAUAAGUUAUCUGUGAAAGUCCUGGGCUUAACCUAGGGAGGUCAGAUAAGACUGUUGGACUAGAGUAUGGGAGAGGGUAGUGGAAUUUCCGGUGUAGCGGUGAAAUGCGUAGAGAUCGGAAGGAACACCAGUGGCGAAGGCGGCUACCUGGCCUAAUACUGACACUGAGGCACGAAAGCGUGGGGAGCAAACAGG